RNAcentral lists this non-coding RNA (25 nucleotides) under Drosophila erecta. The record is from RNAcentral. RNAcentral also lists the same sequence under 4 other names. Lineage: Eukaryota; Metazoa; Arthropoda; Insecta; Diptera; Drosophilidae.
UUUUACUAAAGAUUUCCGUGGAGAG